UUGACGGGGGCCCGCACAAGCGGUGGAGCAUGUGGUUUAAUUCGACGCAACGCGAAGAACCUUACCAGCCCUUGACAUGGGAAGUAUGGGCCGCAGAGACGCGGUCCUUCAGUUCGGCUGGCUUCCACACAGGUGCUGCAUGGCUGUCGUCAGCUCGUGUCGUGAGAUGUUGGGUUAAGUCCCGCAACGAGCGCAACCCUCGUCUCCAGUUGCCAUCGGGUAAAGCCGGGCACUUUGGAGAAACUGCCGGUGACAAGCCGGAGGAAGGUGGGGAUGACGUCAAGUCCUCAUGGCCCUUACGGGCUGGGCUACACACGUGCUACAAUGGCGGUGACAGUGGGCAGCAACUCAGCAAUGGGGAGCUAAUCUCAAAAAGCCGUCUCAGUUCGGAUUGGGGUCUGCAACUCGACCCCAUGAAGUCGGAAUCGCUAGUAAUCGCGGAUCAGCACGCCGCGGUGAAUACGUUCCCGGGCCUU
This 476-nucleotide ribosomal RNA is filed under the name uncultured Rhodospirillales bacterium. Its description in RNAcentral is "bacterial SSU rRNA". It matches the Rfam family "Bacterial small subunit ribosomal RNA", at positions 910 to 1382 of the family's 1533-position model. The record is from RNAcentral. Lineage: Bacteria; Pseudomonadati; Pseudomonadota; Alphaproteobacteria; Rhodospirillales.